UACGUAGGGGGCUAGCGUUGUCCGGAAUCAUUGGGCGUAAAGAGCGUGUAGGCGGUCCGGUAAGUCCGCUGUGAAAGUCGGGGGCUCAACCCUCGAAUGCCGGUGGAUACUGUCGGGCUAGAGUGCGGAAGAGGAGUGUGGAAUUCCUGGUGUAGCGGUGAAAUGCGCAGAUAUCAGGAGGAACACCAAUGGCGAAGGCAGCACUCUGGGACGUGACUGACGCUGAGACGCGAAAGCUGGGGGAGCGAACGGG
This 253-nucleotide ribosomal RNA is filed under the name uncultured bacterium. RNAcentral's name for it is "partial 16S ribosomal RNA". It matches the Rfam family "Bacterial small subunit ribosomal RNA", at positions 524 to 776 of the family's 1533-position model. The record is from RNAcentral.